GUGAAGCUGUCAGACUUCGGGUUCUGUGCCCAGGUGAGCAAAGAAGUGCCCUGGAGGAAGUUGCUGGUCGACAAACCCUACUGGAUGGCCCCAGAGCUCAUCUCCCGCCUUCCCUAUGGGCCAGAGGAUAAAGCAAGAAGUGAGCCCACCCUGGAUCCUGAGGCUCUGAGCUUGAUGGAGCCCAGAGUUCCCUCCAGGCCGCUUCCUUCACAGAUCUUGAAGCUGAGGUCAAGACGAAGCAGGGGCAGAUCCCGGGUGCUCCCCAGGCAAAGAGAGCUGAUCUCGGGGCUGGGGUCACAAGCCUCCUCUCCUGCCACGUUUAGGGCCCUAGAGCCAGGGAGGAUGAGAGACCAGAGGCCUUUAGUUCACCCCUGGGGCUGGACAGAGGCUCAGCCUGUGCCGCAUCCCGAAGCUGUUCUGGCCAGUCUGAGCCACGGCCCCUUUAAGAGGGGGUGGUGCUUCAGCUUGAGGCCAGGGUCGCUGCCUGCGUGCGUGCCCUACGGAAGCCAAGACUGCGCUUCCUGCGAGGAUCCGGCGUUAGCCGUGGCUUGGCUGGAGGGAGUCAGCAGAGGCCGCGGUCCCCCUGGUCGGAGGGCGUCAGCAGAGGCGGUGGCAGCACCCCCCAUCACGCUGAGGGAGUCAGCAGGGGUGGCGGCGGCCCCCUGUGCCGGAGGGAGUCAGCAGAGGGGGCGGCGCCCUCCCCCCCUCCACCCAGCCAGAGGGAGUCAGCAGAAGCGGGGGCGUGGUCAGAGCGAGUUUCUUCGGAGAAGCCGAGGUGGCUUCCACGUGUUGGUGGAGGAGGAGGCAGAUCUCUGCGGUAAGUGGCGGGGACUCAUACCCCACCGGGAACCCUGGUCCAGGCCUCCCUGCUCCUUGUUCGCGGCUCCCUGCUUUUCGGCCCUGACUUCUUUGUGA
This is a long non-coding RNA of Callithrix jacchus (white-tufted-ear marmoset), 915 nucleotides long. NCBI's taxonomy places the organism in Eukaryota, Metazoa, Chordata, Mammalia, Primates, Cebidae. The record is from Ensembl.